GACGAACGCUGGCGGCGUGCUUAACACAUGCAAGUCGAACGGAAAGGCCCUGCUUUUGUGGGGUGCUCGAGUGGCGAACGGGUGAGUAACACGUGAGUAACCUGCCCUUGACUUUGGGAUAACUUCAGGAAACUGGGGCUAAUACCGGAUAGGAGCUCCUGCUGCAUGGUGGGGGUUGGAAAGUUUCGGCGGUUGGGGAUGGACUCGCGGCUUAUCAGCUUGUUGGUGGGGUAGUGGCUUACCAAGGCUUUGACGGGUAGCCGGCCUGAGAGGGUGACCGGCCACAUUGGGACUGAGAUACGGCCCAGACUCGUACGGGAGGCAGCAGUGGGGAAUAGUGCACAAUGGGCGGAAGCCUGAUGCAGCAACGCCGCGUGCGGGAUGACGGCCUUCGGGUUGUAAACCGCUUUCGCCUGUGACGAAGCGUGAGUGACGGUAAUGGGUAAAGAAGCACCGGCUAACUACGUG
Molecule: ribosomal RNA, 468 nt
Filed under: uncultured bacterium
Lineage: Bacteria
Description: partial 16S ribosomal RNA
Rfam family: Bacterial small subunit ribosomal RNA
Source: RNAcentral